Molecule: ribosomal RNA, 662 nt
Filed under: uncultured Sebacinales
Lineage: Eukaryota; Fungi; Basidiomycota; Agaricomycetes; Sebacinales
Description: eukaryotic LSU rRNA
Rfam family: 5.8S ribosomal RNA (bases 246-399)
Source: RNAcentral
UUGGUCAUUUAGAGGAAGUAAAAGUCGUAACAAGGUUUCCGUAGGUGAACCUGCGGAAGGAUCAUUAUUGAUUGUGAAUCGUUGCCUUCUGUGCUGGCCAGCUCUGGCAAGUGCACGCUGGUGACUUUCCUCCAAUCCCCACCCCAUGUGAACCUUUAGCCUCCGCUGGCUUUGGCUGGCAGAGGAUUUUUACACCGACUCGAAUGUAAUGAAAUUAUCAUUGUGCGUAAGCACUACGAAUGUACAACUUUCAACAACGGAUCUCUUGGCUCUCGCAUCGAUGAAGAACGCAGCGAAAUGCGAUAAGUAAUGUGAAUUGCAGAAUUCAGUGAAUCAUCGAAUCUUUGAACGCACCUUGCACCCUUUGGUAUUCCGAAGGGUAUGCUCGUUUGAGUGUCAUUGUAAUCUCACACUUCUGAUCCUUUGGAUCGGGAGUGGUGGACUUGGGUGUUGCUGCUUGACGGUGGCUCACCUCAAAUGCAUUAGUGCAACUCCAGGUUGGACAUAGUACGGCGUGAUAAGUAUCUUCGCCGGCACCUCACCAGAGGGUGGCUAAUCCGGAGCUCUGUGCUUCAAACCGUCUUCGGACAAUGACUGACAACUUGACCUCAAAUCGAGUAGGACUACCCGCUGAACUUAAGCAUAUCAAUAAGCGGAGGAAG